Molecule: ribosomal RNA, 510 nt
Filed under: uncultured bacterium
Lineage: Bacteria
Description: partial 16S ribosomal RNA
Rfam family: Bacterial small subunit ribosomal RNA
Source: RNAcentral
GACGAACGCUGGCGGCGUGCCUAACACAUGCAAGUCGAACGAAGCGUGCUGGAAGCUUGCUUCUCUCAAUCUUAGUGGCGAACGGGCGAGUAAUGCGUAAUCAACCUGUCCUUCAGAGGGGGACUAAAGCCGGAAACGAUUGCUAAUACCGCAUACGAUCUAAUCUCGGUAUCGAGGAUAGGUGUUAGGUGGUUUCUACAUGUAAGCUAUCACUGAAGGAGGGGCCUGCGCUUGAUUAGCUAGUUGGAGGGGUAACGGCCCACCAAGGCGAUGAACAGUAGCCGGUCUGAGAGGAGGAACGGCCACGUUGGGACUGGGACACGACCCAGACUCCUACGAGAGACAGCAGUGGGGAAUCUUCCGCAAUGGACGAAAGUCUGACGAAGCAACGCCGCGUGAGAGAUGACGGCCUUCGGGUUGUAUAGCUCUGUUAGUCGGAACGAAAGGCCAUCUUGCGAAUAGGGAGAAAUAUUGACGGUACCGGAAGAAAAAGCCACGGCUAACUACGUG